GACGAACGCUGGCGGCGUGCUUAACACAUGCAAGUCGAACGGAAAGGCCCUGCUUUUGUGGGGUGCUCGAGUGGCGAACGGGUGAGUAACACGUGAGUAACCUGCCCUUGACUUUGGGAUAACUUCAGGAAACUGGGGCUAAUACCGGAUAGGAGCUCCUGCUGCAUGGUGGGCGUUGGAAAGUUUCGGCGGUUGGGGAUGGAUUCGCGGCUUACCAGCUUGUUGGUGGGGUAGUGGCUUACCAAGGCUUUGACGGGUAGCCGGCCUGGGAGGGUGACCGGCCACAUUGGGACUGCGAUACGGCCCAGACUCCUACGGGAGGCAGCAGUGGGGAAUAUUGCACAAUGGGAGGAAGCCUGAUGCAGCAACGCCGCGUGCGGGAUGACGGCCUUCGGGUUGUAAACCGCUUUCGCCUGUGACGAAGCGUGAGUGACGGUAAUGGGUAAAGAAGCACCGGCUAACUACGUG
This 468-nucleotide ribosomal RNA is filed under the name uncultured bacterium. RNAcentral's name for it is "partial 16S ribosomal RNA". It matches the Rfam family "Bacterial small subunit ribosomal RNA", at positions 28 to 507 of the family's 1533-position model. The record is from RNAcentral.